GAUGAACGCUGGCGGCGUGCCUAAUACAUGCAAGUCGAGCGAACAGACGAGGAGCUUGCUCCUCUGACGUUAGCGGCGGACGGGUGAGUAACACGUGGAUAACCUACCUAUAAGCCUGGGAUAACUUCGGGAAACCGGAGCUAAUACCGGAUAAUAUAUUGAACCGCAUGGUUCUAUAGUGAAAGACGGUUUUGCUGUCACUUAUAGAUGGAUCCGCGCCGCAUUAGCUAGUUGGUAAGGUAACGGCUUACCAAGGCAACGAUGCGUAGCCGACCUGAGAGGGUGAUCGGCCACACUGGAACUGAGACACGGUCCAGACUCCUACGGGAGGCAGCAGUAGGGAAUCUUCCGCAAUGGGCGAAAGCCUGACGGAGCAACGCCGCGUGAGUGAUGAAGGUCUUCGGAUCGUAAAACUCUGUUAUUAGGGAAGAACAAAUGUGUAAGUAACUAUGCACGUCUUGACGGUACCUAAUCAGAAAGCCACGGCUAACUACGUG
Molecule: ribosomal RNA, 497 nt
Filed under: uncultured bacterium
Lineage: Bacteria
Description: partial 16S ribosomal RNA
Rfam family: Bacterial small subunit ribosomal RNA
Source: RNAcentral